GAUGCAUGGUACCUAAGUAAAUCGAAAUUACUCUGCACUUCCAAUCCCACAGAUGAAGUUCCCAGGUGAAGACAUGUGGUUGUGCCCUGUGAACUUUGGUACGCACUGGAUUCUUGUGGAAUUUUCUGAGGAUGAGAGGGCAUGAAGACACCAUGGCGUGGCAGUUACAGACUAUGCAACACAACAAACAACAGGAUUCCAGCAGUUGCGGAGUUUUGCUGUUAAAGUUUGCAGAACACUACCUUGCUUUUGGAGAGGUCAGUGAAGUAUUAACCACUACAGAAGCAGUUGUGCUGGAGCG
This is a long non-coding RNA of Pundamilia nyererei, 301 nucleotides long. RefSeq lists it as uncharacterized. The transcript has 3 exons. The record is from RefSeq and is a predicted model, not a curated record. Lineage: Eukaryota; Metazoa; Chordata; Actinopteri; Cichliformes; Cichlidae.